UGGGGAAUCUUGCGCAAUGGCCGAAAGGCUGACGCAGCGACGCCGCGUGUGGGAGGAAGCUCUUCGGGGUGUAAACCACUGUUGCCCGGGACGAAUGAUGAGCAUCGGCUCAUUUGACGGUACCGGGUGAGGAAGCACCGGCUAACUCUGUGCCAGCAGCCGCGGUAAUACAGAGGGUGCGAGCGUUGUCCGGAAUCACUGGGCGUAAAGGGUCGCGUAGGCGGCAUGGUAAGGUUGCGGUGAAAGCCCGGGGGCUCAACCCCAGGGCUCGGCCGUGGCAACUGCUGAGCUGGAGCACUGUAGAGGCAGGUGGAAUUUCCGGGUGUAGCGGUGGAAUGCGUAGAGAUCCGGAAGAACACCGGUGGCGAAGGCGGCCUGCUGGGCAGUGGCUGACGCUGAUGCGCGACAGCGUGGGGGAGCAAACAGGAUUAGAUACC
This 437-nucleotide ribosomal RNA is filed under the name uncultured bacterium. RNAcentral describes it as "bacterial SSU rRNA". It matches the Rfam family "Bacterial small subunit ribosomal RNA", at positions 355 to 786 of the family's 1533-position model. The record is from RNAcentral.